UUGAGACAACGUACAAACCUUAUCGAUAAACAAUUGGAGGGCAAGUCUGGUGCCAGCAGCCGCGGUAAUUCCAGCUCCAAUAGCGUAUAUUAACGUUGUUGCAGUUAAAAAGCUCGUAGUUGAAAUGAAGGGUAGUUGUGUAAUGAAUACAUUCGUGUAUUUUGUUAUUCUACUACCCUCCUUCUAAAUUCGAUAUAUGAGUAUUAAUUUACUUGUAUAUGGUUUUAGACUUUUACUGUGAGAAAAUUAGAGUGUUCAAAGCAGGCAUUUGCUUGAAUAUAUUAGCAUGGAAUAAUCAUGUAUGAUUUUCAUGAUGUAUUUGAUUGGUUUGGUUCAUGAGAAUAAGAUUAAAAGGGACAGUUGGGGGUAUUCAUAUUCAAUAGUCAGAGGUGAAAUUCUCGGAUUUAUGGAAGAUGAACAAGUGCGAAAGCAUUUACCAAGGAUGUUUUCAUUAAUCAAGAACGAAAGUUAGGGGAUCGAAGAGGAU
RNAcentral lists this ribosomal RNA (487 nucleotides) under Blastocystis sp. subtype 3. RNAcentral describes it as "SSU rRNA". It matches the Rfam family "Eukaryotic small subunit ribosomal RNA", at positions 512 to 1008 of the family's 1831-position model. Lineage: Eukaryota; Bigyra; Opalinata; Blastocystidae. The record is from RNAcentral.